CCCGGUGGCUAUGGCGGGGCGCCCCCACCCGAUCCCAUCCCGAACUCGGAAGUGAAACGCCCCUGCGCCAAUGGUACUUCGUCUUAAGACGCGGGAGAGUAGGGCGCCGCCGGGC
Molecule: non-coding RNA, 115 nt
Organism: Pseudovibrio sp. FO-BEG1
Lineage: Bacteria; Pseudomonadati; Pseudomonadota; Alphaproteobacteria; Hyphomicrobiales; Stappiaceae
Source: Rfam